This 427-nucleotide ribosomal RNA is filed under the name uncultured bacterium. RNAcentral describes it as "bacterial SSU rRNA". It matches the Rfam family "Bacterial small subunit ribosomal RNA", at positions 355 to 774 of the family's 1533-position model. The record is from RNAcentral.
UGGGGAAUUUUGGACAAUGGGCGCAAGCCUGAUCCAGCCAUGCCGCGUGCAGGAUGAAGGCCCUCGGGUUGUAAACUGCUUUUGUACGGAACGAAAAGCCUCUUUCUAAUAAAGAGGGGUGAUGACGGUACCGUAGGAAUAAGCACCGGCUAACUACGUGCCAGCAGCCGCGGUAAUACGUAGGGUGCGAGCGUUAAUCGGAAUUACUGGGCGUAAAGCGUGCGCAGGCGGUCUUGCAAGACAGUGGUGAAAUCCCCGGGCUCAACCUGGGAACUGCCAUUGNGACUGCAAGGCUGGAGUACGGCAGAGGGGGAUGGAAUUCCGCGUGUAGCAGUGAAAUGCGUAGAUAUGCGGAGGAACACCGAUGGCGAAGGCAGUCCCCUGGGCCUGUACUGACGCUCAUGCACGAAAGCGUGGGGAGCAAACA